RNAcentral lists this ribosomal RNA (1050 nucleotides) under uncultured Acinetobacter sp. Its description in RNAcentral is "bacterial SSU rRNA". It matches the Rfam family "Bacterial small subunit ribosomal RNA", at positions 395 to 1446 of the family's 1533-position model. Lineage: Bacteria; Pseudomonadati; Pseudomonadota; Gammaproteobacteria; Moraxellales; Moraxellaceae. The record is from RNAcentral.
UGCCGCGUGUGUGAAGAAGGCCUUUUGGUUGUAAAGCACUUUAAGCGAGGAGGAGGCUACUUAGAUUAAUACUCUAGGAUAGUGGACGUUACUCGCAGAAUAAGCACCGGCUAACUCUGUGCCAGCAGCCGCGGUAAUACAGAGGGUGCGAGCGUUAAUCGGAUUUACUGGGCGUAAAGCGUGCGUAGGCGGCUUCUUAAGUCGGAUGUGAAAUCCCUGAGCUUAACUUAGGAAUUGCAUUCGAUACUGGGAAGCUAGAGUAUGGGAGAGGAUGGUAGAAUUCCAGGUGUAGCGGUGAAAUGCGUAGAGAUCUGGAGGAAUACCGAUGGCGAAGGCAGCCAUCUGGCCUAAUACUGACGCUGAGGUACGAAAGCAUGGGGAGCAAACAGGAUUAGAUACCCUGGUAGUCCAUGCCGUAAACGAUGUCUACUAGCCGUUGGGGCCUUUGAGGCUUUAGUGGCGCAGCUAACGCGAUAAGUAGACCGCCUGGGGAGUACGGUCGCAAGACUAAAACUCAAAUGAAUUGACGGGGGCCCGCACAAGCGGUGGAGCAUGUGGUUUAAUUCGAUGCAACGCGAAGAACCUUACCUGGUCUUGACAUAGUAAGAACUUUCCAGAGAUGGAUUGGUGCCUUCGGGAACUUACAUACAGGUGCUGCAUGGCUGUCGUCAGCUCGUGUCGUGAGAUGUUGGGUUAAGUCCCGCAACGAGCGCAACCCUUUUCCUUAUUUGCCAGCGGGUUAAGCCGGGAACUUUAAGGAUACUGCCAGUGACAAACUGGAGGAAGGCGGGGACGACGUCAAGUCAUCAUGGCCCUUACGACCAGGGCUACACACGUGCUACAAUGGUCGGUACAAAGGGUUGCUACCUAGCGAUAGGAUGCUAAUCUCAAAAAGCCGAUCGUAGUCCGGAUUGGAGUCUGCAACUCGACUCCAUGAAGUCGGAUCGCUAGUAAUCGCGGAUCAGAAUGCCGCGGUGAUACGUUCCCGGCUGUACACACGCCGUCACACCAUGGGAUUUGUGCACCAGAAGUAGUAGUCUAACCGCAAGG